RNAcentral lists this small RNA (435 nucleotides) under Pan troglodytes (chimpanzee). RNAcentral describes it as "processed transcript". Lineage: Eukaryota; Metazoa; Chordata; Mammalia; Primates; Hominidae. The record is from RNAcentral.
GCUGGGCGGGGCCCGCGGCGGUGGCGGCGACUGGCCGGCGGGGCUGACCACUUACCGCAGCAUCCAAGUCGGCCCUGGUGCUGCGGCCAGGUGGGACCUCUGCAUUGAUCAGGCUGUGGUCUUCAUCGAAGAUGCUAUUCAGGUCGGUGGCACCUGCUCCCUGUGGCCGGGCCUGGGGGGUGGCCGCCCUCCGAUUGGCUCGCCCCUCCAGGGGCGACUGACUGGGUCCAAGGCCUCCAUUGCUGGACUGUAGGUUAAGAGAACUGAGGGUGGAGCCUCUGGGCACGGCUCUUCGUCAGUCCCCGGAGGACUUGUCUUCUGCAUCCUGGACGCAUUUGCUGCUUUGAUGCACCGUGUUCUGGGGCCUGUUGUGGACCACCCCAUUCUAGGUCCCGGGUGGGUGGGGGCAUCCUGGAGGAUGACACAGCUGCACGG